UGGCGGCGUGCUAUACAUGCAAGUCGAGCGAACAGAUAAGGAGCUUGCUCCUUUGACGUUAGCGGCGGACGGGUGAGUAACACGUGGGUAACCUACCUAUAAGACUGGGAUAACUUCGGGAAACCGGAGCUAAUACCGGAUAACAUUUGGAACCGCAUGGUUCUAAAGUGAAAGAUGGUUUUGCUAUCACUUAUAGAUGGACCCGCGCCGUAUUAGCUAGUUGGUAAGGUAACGGCUUACCAAGGCGACGAUACGUAGCCGACCUGAGAGGGUGAUCGGCCACACUGGAACUGAGACACGGUCCAGACUCCUACGGGAGGCAGCAGUAGGGAAUCUUCCGCAAUGGGCGAAAGCCUGACGGAGCAACGCCGCGUGAGUGAUGAAGGGUUUCGGCUCGUAAAACUCUGUUAUUAGGGAAGAACAAAUGUGUAAGUAACUGUGCACGUCUUGACGGUACCUAAUCAGAAAGCCACGGCUAACUACGUGCCAGCAGCCGCGGUAAUACGUAGGUGGCAAGCGUUAUCCGGAAUUAUUGGGCGUAAAGCGCGCGUAGGCGGUUUCUUAAGUCUGAUGUGAAAGCCCACGGCUCAACCGUGGAGGGUCAUUGGAAACUGGGAAACUUGAGUGCAGAAGAGGAAAGUGGAAUUCCAUGUGUAGCGGUGAAAUGCGCAGAGAUAUGGAGGAACACCAGUGGCGAAGGCGACUUUCUGGUCUGUAACUGACGCUGAUGUGCGAAAGCGUGGGGAUCAAACAGGAUUAGAUACCCUGGUAGUCCACGCCGUAAACGAUGAGUGCUAAGU
RNAcentral lists this ribosomal RNA (800 nucleotides) under Staphylococcus saprophyticus. RNAcentral's name for it is "bacterial SSU rRNA". It matches the Rfam family "Bacterial small subunit ribosomal RNA", at positions 37 to 821 of the family's 1533-position model. The record is from RNAcentral. Lineage: Bacteria; Bacillati; Bacillota; Bacilli; Caryophanales; Staphylococcaceae.